This 1512-nucleotide long non-coding RNA is filed under the name Anas platyrhynchos platyrhynchos (common mallard). RNAcentral describes it as "lncRNA (ENSAPLG00000022890.1)". The record is from RNAcentral. Lineage: Eukaryota; Metazoa; Chordata; Aves; Anseriformes; Anatidae.
GUAAAUUGCUUGUUUAUUUACAAACUCUCUCUUUUCUGUCUCUUUUUAUUUUGCUCCUGCCUUUUUAAAAUAAUUAUUAUUAUUUUGCUCACAAGUGAAAGUUAGCAGGACUUUGAGUAUGUGGAUGACACCAGCCCCUUCUGUUGAAACAGCACAGUCUGCACACUGCUGAGGCACCGUGGCUCACAGAGCUCUUAAUGGAGAUCUCCUCCACCUGCUCCAAUGACAUACCUGUUGUUGAGAAGAAGCUACCCAGCUGCAGCAGUGAAGGCAGUGUGCUGAGUCCCAGUCAUAUAAAUCUACUGGGUAAAUGUUGUUAUCUUGAACACGUUAUUUUGGGAGUUAGAUAUCUGAAAGAUGAAAGACAGCAUCAAGAUGCAAAAGGAGAGCUGGAUAUUUUGUUUAUAAAGACACAUGUGAAGAAAAAAGAGCACCCAAACAUUGAAUGGAAAGAGAGGAGCAUUACCAUGUUGACAAGUACCAAUGUUUAAAUUCAGACAGAAAUCGCUACUGAACUGCAGCAGUCCAUCCUUUCAUUUUAACAAUGAUCUGGGAGAAUGAGAUUGCAGUGGGACCUUAAUUUCCCUUGUUAGAGCUGUAGCAUUUGGGGCUGAUGAAGUUCACAGUAAACCCGUCACAAAUGAACCUUACCUGAUAUAUUAUCUAUGGAGGCCAUAUAAUGAGCAUCUGGUGGAAACAGCAGUCUGUAUGUGAAGCAGCAGCUACUAAACUGCUGAGGUGCAGUGCAUUGUAUUUGGUGAGUUCAUCCAGGAGGAAGAAGAAUCAGGCUUUCAUUGAACUUGGGUAAACAGGCUGCCUGUGGGCCCAAAGGACUGUGCAAGGCACACUGUGAAAUGCAAUCCUUCACUUUACCAAGCUGCAAAGCAGCUGUGUGCCCUUUGCUGAACCUUUUGAAAAAUAAGGGUCUGGCUGAAACAAGGCCACAAAGAGAAUUCACUUUUACAGUCUGCCAGUGAACUACUGGGACAACUGAUGCCAGCUGUGACCAGAAAAGAUGUUUCCUUCUGAUUCCAAAACAUUUACUGGCGAGCCUGGAUUGAUGGACAUGUAGUGUUCUGUCACCCAGUGCCACAUUGGUCAUGAUAAAGGAUUGUUCAGGGUAGAUAAGGCCUUCAGUAAGAGAUGAAAAAUGAUGCUACCUUCCAGAGGGCUUGCAAACACAUGGACAAAAUGUUAUGAAUAACUUCAGAAUGUGAAAAUCACUGUACUGGAUGAAAACAAAGGAAUUGCUUUCAGGGUAAAAAGUGGUAAGAAUAAUGAACCCAUUGCUUAAGGGUUUGGUUACUGACACCUUCUUCUGAAGGACCUUCAAGGGAAGAGGAAAGUGAAUGUCUUUGAAAGUGCAUAUUUAGAAUAACUAUUCUCUCUCUUAACUCACUGUUUGGAUGGAAAGCAGUCAGUGAUCGACACCCCACAAUAGCUGUAUGUAACAGAUUAAAGCACUGAGAAGAAAUGCUUCCUGCUAAAAUAAAUAGGAAAUAUAGACAGCCA